This 542-nucleotide long non-coding RNA is filed under the name Gallus gallus (chicken). Lineage: Eukaryota; Metazoa; Chordata; Aves; Galliformes; Phasianidae. The record is from RNAcentral.
CUCCUUUAGGACCCUCUACUCCAGCACUCUCCGGGUAGACUGGGGAGGCGUCGACAUCGGGGCAGAUGGGGCAGCACUCUCCGAAGGGGAUUUCGGCGUUGGGGCAGUCGGAGGUGUCCUCGCAGAUCACCUCGUCGCAGAGGAUGUUGCCGCUGUCGCAGACGCAGAUCUGGCACGGUUCGGGUUUCCACACAUCCUUAUCGUUGUACGUCAGCCCGUCCUGGACGCAGCUCCCGGUCUGGAUGUCCUCUUCUCCUUGCCCGCGGGUCUUUUUUUUUCCGGGCUGCAACGAAAGGCGGAGAGGAAAAAAAAAGAAAAAGAAAGAAAAGCGGCGGUGGGCGCGCACUGCACGGCCGGCGGUGCGGAGCUGCGCUGGCCGCCGUUCAGCGCUGUAUCUGCGCAUCCGAGACACGUUGCAGCCGAAGGCUCCUCCAAUCCGACCCCGGCGGCUCGCAAAGGGCCUGGCCCCGCUCCAGCCCCGAGAUGUGUCUUUAAUUUUUGCAGCAUGACAGAAAAGAAAAGAAUGUCAUUCGCUCUGCCUC